CCUACGGGAGGCAGCAGUGGGGAAUAUUGCACAAUGGGGGAAACCCUGAUGCAGCCAUGCCGCGUGUGUGAAGAAGGCCUUCGGGUUGUAAAGCACUUUCAGUAGGGAGGAAAGGGUGCAGUUUAAUACACUGUAUCUGUGACGUUACCUACAGAAGAAGGACCGGCUAACUCCGUGCCAGCAGCCGCGGUAAU
This 194-nucleotide ribosomal RNA is filed under the name uncultured bacterium. RNAcentral's name for it is "partial 16S ribosomal RNA". It matches the Rfam family "Bacterial small subunit ribosomal RNA", at positions 338 to 524 of the family's 1533-position model. The record is from RNAcentral.